This 1437-nucleotide ribosomal RNA is filed under the name uncultured compost bacterium. RNAcentral's name for it is "16S ribosomal RNA". It matches the Rfam family "Bacterial small subunit ribosomal RNA". The record is from RNAcentral.
ACGAGUGGCGGACGGGUGAGUAACACGUGGGUAACCUGCCCUUAAGUGGGGGAUAACAUUUGGAAACAGAUGCUAAUACCGCAUAAAUCCAAGAACCGCAUGGUUCUUGGCUGAAAGAUGGCGUAAGCUAUCGCUUUUGGAUGGACCCGCGGCGUAUUAGCUAGUUGGUGAGGUAACGGCUCACCAAGGCAAUGAUACGUAGCCGAACUGAGAGGUUGAUCGGCCACAUUGGGACUGAGACACGGCCCAAACUCCUACGGGAGGCAGCAGUAGGGAAUCUUCCACAAUGGACGCAAGUCUGAUGGAGCAACGCCGCGUGAGUGAAGAAGGCUUUCGGGUCGUAAGAUUCUGUUGUUGGAGAAGAAUGGUCGGCAGAGUAACUGUUGUCGGCGUGACGGUAUCCAACCAGAAAGCCACGGCUAACUACGUGCCAGCAGCCGCGGUAAUACGUAGGUGGCAAGCGUUAUCCGGAUUUAUUGGGCGUAAAGCGAGCGCAGGCGGUUUUUUAAGUCUGAUGUGAAAGCCCUCGGCUUAACCGAGGAAGUGCAUCGGAAACUGGGAAACUUGAGUGCAGAAGAGGACAGUGGAACUCCAUGUGUAGCGGUGAAAUGCGUAGAUAUAUGGAAGGACACCAGUGGCGAAGGCGGCUGUCUGGUCUGUAACUGACGCUGAGGCUCGAAAGCAUGGGUAGCGAACAGGAUUAGAUACCCUGGUAGUCCAUGCCGUAAACGAUGAAUGCUAGGUGUUGGAGGGUUUCCGCCCUUCAGUGCCGCAGCUAACGCAUUAAGCAUUCCGCCUGGGGAGUACGACCGCAAGGUUGAAACUCAAAGGAAUUGACGGGGGCCCGCACAAGCGGUGGAGCAUGUGGUUUAAUUCGAAGCAACGCGAAGAACCUUACCAGGUCUUGACAUCUUUUGAUCACCUGAGAGAUCAGGUUUCCCCUUCGGGGGCAAAAUGACAGGUGGUGCAUGGUUGUCGUCAGCUCGUGUCGUGAGAUGUUGGGUUAAGUCCCGCAACGAGCGCAACCCUUAUGACUAGUUGCCAGCAUUUAGUUGGGCACUCUAGUAAGACUGCCGGUGACAAACCGGAGGAAGGUGGGGAUGACGUCAAAUCAUCAUGCCCCUUAUGACCUGGGCUACACACGUGCUACAAUGGAUGGUACAACGAGUUGCGAGACCGCGAGGUCAAGCUAAUCUCUUAAAGCCAUUCUCAGUUCGGACUGUAGGCUGCAACUCGCCUACACGAAGUCGGAAUCGCUAGUAAUCGCGGAUCAGCACGCCGCGGUGAAUACGUUCCCGGGCCUUGUACACACCGCCCGUCACACCAUGAGAGUUUGUAACACCCGAAGCCGGUGGCGUAACCCUUUUAGGGAGCGAGCCGUCUAAGGUGGGACAAAUGAUUAGGGUGAAGUCGUAACAAGGUAGCCGUAGGAGAACC